UACGUAGGGUGCGAGCGUUAAUCGGAAUUACUGGGCGUAAAGAGUGCGUAGGCGGUUCGUUAAGUCAGCUGUGAAAGCCCCGGGCUCAACCUGGGAACUGCGGUUGAAACUGGCGAACUAGAAUCUGGCAGAGGGGGGUGGAAUUCCACGUGUAGCAGUGAAAUGCGUAGAGAUGUGGAGGAACACCGAUGGCGAAGGCAGUCCCCUGGGCCUGUACUGACGCUCAUGCACGAAAGCGUGGGGAGCAAACAGG
Molecule: ribosomal RNA, 253 nt
Filed under: uncultured bacterium
Lineage: Bacteria
Description: partial 16S ribosomal RNA
Rfam family: Bacterial small subunit ribosomal RNA
Source: RNAcentral